UACGUAGGGGGCAAGCGUUAUCCGGAAUUACUGGGUGUAAAGGGUGAGUAGGCGGCAUGGUAAGCCAGAUGUGAAAGCCUUGGGCUUAACCCGAGGAUUGCAUUUGGAACUAUCAAGCUAGAGUACAGGAGAGGAAAGCGGAAUUCCUAGUGUAGCGGUGAAAUGCGUAGAUAUUAGGAAGAACACCAGUGGCGAAGGCGGCUUUCUGGACUGAAGCUGACGCUGAGGCACGAAAGCGUGGGGAGCGAACAGG
This 253-nucleotide ribosomal RNA is filed under the name uncultured bacterium. RNAcentral describes it as "partial 16S ribosomal RNA". It matches the Rfam family "Bacterial small subunit ribosomal RNA", at positions 524 to 776 of the family's 1533-position model. The record is from RNAcentral.